AUAGCGUAUAUUAAAGUUGUUGCAGUUAAAAAGCUCGUAGUUGGAUCUUGGGUCGGGGGGAGCGGUCCGCCCCUCGUGGGUGUGCACUGGUCCACCCGACCUUUCUGCCGGGGACGCGCUCCUGGCCUUCGUUGGUCGGGACGCGGAGUCGGCGAUGUUACUUUGAAAAAAUUAGAGUGCUCAAAGCAAGCCUAUGCUCUGAAUACAUUAGCAUGGAAUAACGUGAUAGGACUCUGGUCCUGUUGUGUUGGUCUUCGGGACCGGAGUAAUGAUUAAUAGGGACAGUUGGGGGCAUUCGUAUUUCAUUGUCAGAGGUGAAAUUCUUGGAUUUAUGAAAGACGAACUUCUG
This 349-nucleotide ribosomal RNA is filed under the name uncultured eukaryote. Its description in RNAcentral is "SSU rRNA". It matches the Rfam family "Eukaryotic small subunit ribosomal RNA", at positions 594 to 945 of the family's 1831-position model. The record is from RNAcentral.